UCCGUAGCUGGAUUGUUAAGUCUCUUGGGAAAUCCGCCGGCUUAACCGGCGGGCGUCUAAGAGAUACUGGCAACCUAGGGACCGGAAGAGGUGAGAGGUACUCCGGGGGUAGAAGUGAAAUUCUGUAAUCCUCGGGGGACCACCUGUGGCGAAGGCGUCUCACCAGAACGGCUCCGACAGUGAGGGACGAAAGCUGGGGGAGCAAACAGGAUUAGAUACCCUGGUAGUCC
Molecule: ribosomal RNA, 230 nt
Filed under: uncultured bacterium
Lineage: Bacteria
Description: partial 16S ribosomal RNA
Rfam family: Archaeal small subunit ribosomal RNA
Source: RNAcentral